This 677-nucleotide ribosomal RNA is filed under the name Debaryomyces sp. Its description in RNAcentral is "partial large subunit ribosomal RNA". The stretch from base 1 to 588 matches the Rfam family "Eukaryotic large subunit ribosomal RNA", at positions 66 to 664 of the family's 3401-position model. Lineage: Eukaryota; Fungi; Ascomycota; Pichiomycetes; Serinales; Debaryomycetaceae. The record is from RNAcentral.
CAAUGGGGGUUAUUGCCGUUAGUUACGGCGAGUGAAGCGGCAAAAGCUCAAAUUUUGAAAUCUGGCACCUUCGGUGUCCGAGUUGUAAUUUGAAGAAGGUAACUUUGGAGUUGGCUCUUGUCUAUGUUCCUUGGAACAGGACGUCACAGAGGGUGAGAAUCCCGUGCGAUGAGAUGCCCAAUUCUAUGUAAAGUGCUUUCGAAGAGUCGAGUUGUUUGGGAAUGCAGCUCUAAGUGGGUGGUAAAUUCCAUCUAAAGCUAAAUAUUGGCGAGAGACCGAUAGCGAACAAGUACAGUGAUGGAAAGAUGAAAAGAACUUUGAAAAGAGAGUGAAAAAGUACGUGAAAUUGUUGAAAGGGAAGGGCUUGAGAUCAGACUUGGUAUUUUGCGAUCCUUUCCUUCUUGGUUGGGUUCCUCGCAGCUUACUGGGCCAGCAUCGGUUUGGAUGGUAGGAUAAUGACUAAGGAAUGUGGCUCUACUUCGGUGGAGUGUUAUAGCCUUGGUUGAUACUGCCUGUCUAGACCGAGGACUGCGUCUUUUGACUAGGAUGUUGGCAUAAUGAUCUUAAGCCACCCGUCUUAAAAGGGGGCCCAAAAAAAAAAAAGUUAAGGGAGGGAAAAAAAAAAAAAAAAAAAAAAAAACAAAAACCAAAAAACCAAACAAAAAACAAACCAACAA